UAGCUUUGGCAGCACAUAUACUAAAAGUGGAACGAUACAGAGAAAAUUAGCAUGGCCCCUAUGCAAGGAUGACACGCAAAUUCGAGAAGCGUUCCAUAUUUUU
Molecule: small nuclear RNA, 103 nt
Organism: Cavia porcellus (domestic guinea pig)
Lineage: Eukaryota; Metazoa; Chordata; Mammalia; Rodentia; Caviidae
Source: Ensembl